Molecule: long non-coding RNA, 429 nt
Organism: Haliotis rubra (blacklip abalone)
Lineage: Eukaryota; Metazoa; Mollusca; Gastropoda; Lepetellida; Haliotidae
Exons: 3
Source: RefSeq, a predicted model, not a curated record
AACAGUCGUCAUUACGAACCCUUAUCAUAAUAGUUGGCGGAGAAUCAACGAUUUUCGGAACCUCGGAGCCCAGGAACUAACUACAACCAGCUACAAGAACACAUGGAAUAACAAGCGACUGCAUCCACGUCUGAUCUCAACACUGGAUUAAGGACCACCAACUCCUGUAAAGACACCAACCAAGGAAGAAAAAGUCUUCAAAAAUUGUAAGUACUACUUUACAUUGUUGAUUUCUUGUCUUUCUUAAUUAUAGUACGGUACAUACUAUAAGGUGUCAUGGCCAAUAUGGAGUCUGGUAUGGAAAGAAACUGUGGAAGUGAAAUUCCAACUGUGUCCUUAGUUACCCCCCUUGCCAAAAGUGUAAUUCAGGUAACAUUUGGCACUGAAACAACAACUUGUUUAAUAGAUACAGGGGCAUCCAUUUGCUGC